GGAUUUAGCUCAGUGGUAGAGCGCUUGCCUAGCAAGCGCAAGGUCCUGGGUUCGGUCCCCAGAUCCG
Molecule: transfer RNA, 67 nt
Filed under: Rattus norvegicus (Norway rat)
Lineage: Eukaryota; Metazoa; Chordata; Mammalia; Rodentia; Muridae
Rfam family: tRNA
About the family: Transfer RNA (tRNA) molecules are approximately 80 nucleotides in length. Their secondary structure includes four short double-helical elements and three loops (D, anti-codon, and T loops).
Source: Rfam by way of RNAcentral